Molecule: ribosomal RNA, 407 nt
Filed under: uncultured Gammaproteobacteria bacterium
Lineage: Bacteria; Pseudomonadati; Pseudomonadota; Gammaproteobacteria
Description: bacterial SSU rRNA
Rfam family: Bacterial small subunit ribosomal RNA
Source: RNAcentral
GAGUUUGAUCAUGGCUCAGAUUGAACGCUGGCGGCAUGCCUAACACAUGCAAGUCGAACGGCAGCGCGGGGGCAACCCUGGCGGCGAGUGGCGGACGGGUGAGGAACACAUAGGAAUCUACCUUGACGUGGGGGAUAACGUAGGGAAACUUACGCUAAUACCGCAUACGACCUCAGGGUGAAAGCGGCGGACCGCAAGGCGUCGCGCGGUGAGAUGAGCCUAUGUCCGAUUAGCUAGUUGGCGGGGUAAGGGCCCACCAAGGCGACGAUCGGUAGCUGGUCUGAGAGGAUGAUCAGCCACACUGGGACUGAGACACGGCCCAGACUCCUACGGGAGGCAGCAGUGGGGAAUAUUGGACAAUGGGCGCAAGCCUGAUCCAGCAAUGCCGCGUGGGUGAAGAAGGCCUC